This 64-nucleotide transfer RNA is filed under the name Furcilarnaca chirurga. RNAcentral's name for it is "tRNA-Phe". The record is from RNAcentral. Lineage: Eukaryota; Metazoa; Arthropoda; Insecta; Orthoptera; Gryllacrididae.
AUUUGAGUAGCUAAAAUUUAGAGCGUAAUAUUGAAGAUAUUGAAGUAGUGAUAACUCUCAAAUA